GACGAACGCUGGCGGCGUGCUUAACACAUGCAAGUCGAACGGAAAGGCCCUGCUUUUGUGGGGUGCUCGAGUGGCGAACGGGUGAGUAACACGUGAGUAACCUGCCCUUGACUUUGGGAUAACUUCAGGAAACUGGGGCUAAUACCGGAUAGGAGCUCCUGCUGCAUGGUGGGGGUUGGAAAGUUUCGGCGGUUGGGGAUGGACCCGCGGCUUAUCAGCUUGUUGGUGGGGUAGUGGCUUACCAAGGCUUUGACGGGUAGCCGGCCUGAGAGGGUGACCGGCCACAUGGGGACUGAGAUACGGCCCAGACUCCUACGGGAGGCAGCAGUGGGGAAUAUUGCACAAUGGGCGGAAGCCUGAUGCAGCAACGCCGCGUGCGGGAUGACGGCCUUCGGGUUGUAAACCGCUUUCGCCUGUGACGAAGCGUGAGUGACGGUAAUGGGUAAAGAAGCACCGGCUAACUACGU
This 467-nucleotide ribosomal RNA is filed under the name uncultured bacterium. RNAcentral's name for it is "partial 16S ribosomal RNA". It matches the Rfam family "Bacterial small subunit ribosomal RNA", at positions 28 to 506 of the family's 1533-position model. The record is from RNAcentral.